Molecule: long non-coding RNA, 205 nt
Organism: Amblyraja radiata (thorny skate)
Lineage: Eukaryota; Metazoa; Chordata; Chondrichthyes; Rajiformes; Rajidae
Exons: 3
Source: RefSeq, a predicted model, not a curated record
UAGUGUAGAUGGGACUCGUGUAGAUUGGUCGGUGUGAACAAAUUGGGCUGAAGGGCCUGAAUCCACGCUGUAUGACUCUACGACUCCCGUUUCCAGCCCAGUAAUCAUGAACUCUUGGCUAUUCCUAUACAGGUAGCUGUUAUAACCAGUUUCCAGGAACAUUAAUUGGAUAUAUUAUAAUAAAAAGGAAUUGCAGAUGUCGGUU